CUAGUUGGUGAGGUAAAGGCUUACCAAGGCGACGAUCAGUAGCUGGUCUGAGAGGACGACCAGCCCCACUGGGACUGAGACACGGCCCAGACUCCUACGGGAGGCAGCAGUGGGGAAUUUUGGACAAUGGGGGAAACCCUGAUCCUGCCAUGCCGCGUGAGUGAAGAAGGCCUUCGGGUUGUAAAGCUCUUUCAGCCGGAACGAAACGGUCACGGCUAAUACCUGUGACUACUGACGGUACCGGAAGAAGAAGCACCGGCUAACUACGUGCCAGCAGCCGCGGUAAUAUUUAGGGUGCGAGCGUUAAUCGGAAUUACUGGGCGUAAAGCGUGCGCAGGCGGUUUUGUAAGUCAGAUGUGAAAUCCCCGGGCUUAACCUGGGAACUGCGUUUGAAACUACAAGGCUAGAAGGG
This 412-nucleotide ribosomal RNA is filed under the name uncultured beta proteobacterium. RNAcentral describes it as "bacterial SSU rRNA". It matches the Rfam family "Bacterial small subunit ribosomal RNA", at positions 245 to 649 of the family's 1533-position model. The record is from RNAcentral. Lineage: Bacteria; Pseudomonadati; Pseudomonadota; Betaproteobacteria.